RNAcentral lists this unclassified non-coding RNA (2630 nucleotides) under Haliotis rufescens (red abalone). RNAcentral's name for it is "protein crumbs-like, transcript variant X2". Lineage: Eukaryota; Metazoa; Mollusca; Gastropoda; Lepetellida; Haliotidae. The record is from RNAcentral.
GUUAUCGGGGGAGGACAACGGAACAGCCACGUCUCAUUUCAUAUAAGAGGGACUAACUCGGUGUUUUGUCAGUACAGUGUAACGAGAGGUUGAGGGAGUCGGAUACGUACAAACUACCAGUAAAAUAACCCUCUCAUUCAUUACUUGCUUAUAACGUCCUUCUUCGCCGGAUAUAUGCACAAUCUUGUGGAUAGUACUAGAAAUAGUAGUUUGUGUUCGACAAAAGAUUCUCAUCACCACCAUCAUGUUCGCCUGCAAAGAGAUCCGAUGUGUGAUGCUAUUUUAUAUAUUUAUUCACCUUUUACACAAGUCCCAUUCAUGCAUAUUGUUGCUGAAUGGAUGGACACCGCUCACUGUUUACGAACGAGCAACUUAUGCGGAGAUAGUGGUUUCUGCCAAUGUGGUACGAGCGUUUAAAGACGUGAGAUCCGAUUCUGAAACUUACACAGCUGAGGUACAGGUGCUGGAAGUGUACAAAGGUGCCGAGUUUGUGGAUGAUGUUUCAUCCGUAGAGAGGAGCAGGAAGAUCUACAACAUCAGCAACUUCGGAGACAGGUCAAUGUGUUACGCUGACGUCGUUCCUGGAGACACCCACAUCAUGUUCCUCACCAUGUACAACGGCCGCCUGUCAGCCAAAUACGACGACAUCUUUGGAGCUGUAGCAGAGUUUACUUCUGCAAAUGAACAACAAAUCUUGGAUUAUUUAGGUUGGCACACGUGGUCCAAAUGGAACGGUUGCAGCGCCCCCUGUGAUGGUGGUGUUCAGAUGCGACAUCGUACAUGCUCGAGAGAAAACAUAACAGACUGCACGGGUGCAUCUACUGAGACGCGGAAGUGCAAUACAUACUCGUGUAAUGAAAUUACAGACCUUGUGACCAAACUAGGAAUGCCGAAAAUGCCUUUCGGCGUCUAUAAGAACCCCAACAGGACACACGCAUAUCAAGUCACCCCUCACGCCAAGCUUUUCCUCCCUGUUGCAUCUUUAUACGAAGUCUCGUUUCCACGAGAUUUCAGUGUGGCCUUGACCUUUAAACUAAAUCCUGGCUACGAAGGUUACCUUCUUACAGUUAACGAUAUCAGAGGAAGACAGAGGAUUGGACUCCAUUUUGGCACAAAUGCUAAAUUUGAGUAUUUGGAAUAUCAUGAUGGAAGGGUUGUCUCCCUUGAUUUUGAUGUCGCUGUGACUGAUGGGCAAUGGCACCAGCUGGCGUUCAGCGUCAAAGACGACAUUGUGACCUUGUUUUACGACUGCGACACCGUCAUGAGCAAGACCCUUAUCCGAAGGAAGAGUUCAACUCUUGGGAAAAACCUUAUGAUCGCCAUUGGACCUUAUUUCGCCAGGAAUGGCCAACCUUUCAGGGGUAGCAUUGAACAAAUUGUUCUGGCUGAAGACCCCAGUUUCGCCGAGCUCCAGUGCCACGUACAGAGUGACGUCACGGAUAUGCCUGUCAAGGAUGACAACAAACCCGUCACCAGUAAGCCCACACAGACUGACCUCAACAAUGUAACAACGAAACCCACUGUGUAUGGCUCUGAUUGGUCCUCGUGGUCCUACUGCAGCGCCUCGUGCGGUCAAGGGCGACAAUCCAGGACUCUUUUCUGCCGGAACAACAUUGUGGCUGUGGACCGAUGUGUGGCCAAAGACUCUCCUCACACGCAGACACGGCUGUGUUACCUGCAGGAGUGUCAAGUGAAGUGUCAGACUCCUUGUUUAAAUGGCGGAGAGUGUAACGCCAACGGAACAUGUGACUGUCCGAUGGGAUAUGAUGGCAAGAGAUGCGAAACUCCAUCGUGCCCGUUAGGCUGUGAAAACAACGGAAUCUGCGUCGGCCCAAACAUGUGCGCAUGCCCAGCUGGUUACACUGGUGCUAACUGUGAAAUGCCCAAGUGCGAACAGGGAUGCUCCAAUGGCGGACGUUGCGUUGCCCCGGGGAAGUGCGCAUGCCCAUACGGCUACCUGCAGCCGACGUGCAAACCCUACUGUCCUAUGCAGUGCCACAAUGGAGGGAAAUGCGUGCGGCAUAAUGUCUGCCGUUGUAAGAAAGGCUACACGGGGAAAGACUGUUCAGUUGCUACCUGCAAGCGUGGAUGUUUUAAUGGCGGAAAGUGUGUUGCUGCCAACCGCUGUUCCUGCCCGAGUGGAUACAGAGGGCGCUACUGUCAGAAAGCCAAAUGCCGACCAAGGUGUCAAAACAGCGGCAAAUGCAUCGCCCCCAAUGUGUGCGGAUGUAGAGGAGGUUACUAUGGCAACCGGUGUCAACUAUUUCAAUGCUUCAAGAAAUGCAAAAAUGGCGGAACUUGUACUGGUCCUAAUCGUUGUGCAUGCCCAGCGGGGUUCUCAGGUCGAAGGUGUCAGAGAGCACGUUGUCGCAGUGCCUGUCUUAAUGGAGGACGGUGCAGGAAGAACAACAAGUGUAAAUGCCCACCCGGUUUCAAAGGCCGCCGCUGUGAAACUAGAACGACACCACUUUUCUAUUUGUAGAAUAUGCAAAUACGAGAAGCACUCCGUGCCACACACACGGAGCUACCGUCGUGUUGUGCGGGAAGAGUAUGUCGCCAAGUGUGGCCCCUGGCACUGGAAAACGUGUGUCAAAACUAGGUUAAAAUACGCCUUAGUUGUGAAGGACACG